CCCUGGAGGUAAAGCUCCAGAGUUUUUGGCACUAAAUGAGGAUGUUAUUGUACUAGUGAAACAAUUUAUGGAAGCCAGGAAACCAGUUGCAUCCAUCUGCCAUGGCCUGGAAAUUUUAGUUGCUGCUGGUGUUCUGCAGGGGAAGAAAUGUACUGGAUAUGCCAUGGCCUGGAAACCUGGAAACCAGGAAACCAGUUGCAUCAAUCUGCCUUGGCCUGGAAAUUUUAGUUGCUGCUGGUGUUCUGCAGGGGAAGAAAUGUACUGGAUACC
Non-coding RNA from Prunus avium (sweet cherry), 270 nucleotides. The record is from RefSeq and is a predicted model, not a curated record. Lineage: Eukaryota; Viridiplantae; Streptophyta; Magnoliopsida; Rosales; Rosaceae.